CCUACGGGAGGCAGCAGUAGGGAAUAUUGCACAAUGGGCGAAAGCCUGAUGCAGCAACGCCGCGUGCGCGAUGAAGGCCUUCGGGUCGUAAAGCGCUUUUCGGGGAGAUGAGGAAGGACAGUAUCCCCAGAAUAAGGUUCGGCUAACUACGUGCCAGCAGCCGCGGUAAU
Molecule: ribosomal RNA, 170 nt
Filed under: uncultured bacterium
Lineage: Bacteria
Description: partial 16S ribosomal RNA
Rfam family: Bacterial small subunit ribosomal RNA
Source: RNAcentral